CAUACUAACAGUCACACACACACACAGAGGCCAAGUGAAGAGACCCUGUUAGCAUAUAAACAAAAGGUGGGGGGUAGACCCUGAAGCCUUUCCUCUGACAGCCAGUGGCGGCGGUGAUGAAUUUGUGAAGCUAUCUCAUUUUCCACUGUUUUAAUUAGAGACUUGGGCUCUGAGGCCUCGCAGCUGGCGUCUUUGUGCUGUGUUCUGUUGCCUGACAAAGAAAAAUGCCUCCUCUAACGUCAGCCAAGCUCUGCGCCUGACCUGUGUUCCCACACAUCAGAGAAGCCCUGAGGGAACCUCCCUGGAGCACAAUUCUGCCCUGCGACAGAAGGAAGCCUUUGAAGAUGGGACUCUUUCCUUCAGCCUAGAGCAGAAAGUGCCCCGGGAAGUCUGGGUGGACCGUGGCUUCUGUGAAGAACUCUCUGGCAGGAGGAACGGCUUUCAAAGACUUGGCAAGCUCGGCCUUCACCUUGCUGUGGAUUUCCUGUGACGAGACACCCGCCCCCUCCCCCAGAGGCUGAACAAUAGCUCUCACUCAUAGGCCUCACUGAUGGUCUCCUCCCUCGCUGCUGGAAGUCACUACAGCAAAGCUCUGCUCAAAGCAUGCUCAAACAGGGAGCUCAGAACUAAUGUAAAACUUCCAAUGAAGCUAGUUUGCUAAAAACAGCUGCUCGUAUUUCCUCUGAACAGCUACAGAGCCACUGGAAGGCCUGACUAGGAUAUUGGAUCAAGUGCUCCAAUGGAGGAUCCCUGGAGUUGCAGUAGAGAGCAGACUAAUCUGGGGAAGGGGAGUAUCAAGGAAACUGGAUUUCUAGUCCUUCUGUGUGGACCAAAGACACAGAAAAACUAAGGGCCUCAGCCUCCUUAUCUGUGGGAUUGGAAUGAGAUCACCCCCACUCGUGUGCUCACAGACACACUGGGAGGCUUUGGCCAGAGGCUGUAUCUGAAGAUGCUUGGCAACCAUCACAGCUUAUAGAUAUGUGAACAGCAGAUAGGGUUCUCUUUCUUUUUUUUUCAUUCUUUCUUUCUUCCUUCCUUCCUUUCUUUCUUUUUCUCUUUCUUUCUUCCUUUCUCCUUCCUUCUUUUCUUUUUUGAAUUUUUAAAUAAGUACAUUUUUUAAUCUUUUAUUUAUUUAUUGGAUAGAGACAGAGACAACUUGAGAGGGGCAGGGGAGCUAGAAAGAGAAAGAGCCAGAGAGACACCUGCAGCACUGCUUCACCACUGGUGAAGAUUUCCCCCUGCAGAUGGAGACAGGGGCUUGAACUUGGGUCCUUGCACAUUGUAAUAUGUAUGCUUAACUGGGUGUGCCACCUCCUGGCCCAUAGAGGAUAGGGUUCUUAGGAAGGAGACAGUUAUAUCAAGCAGG
Erinaceus europaeus (western European hedgehog) is the source of this 1366-nucleotide long non-coding RNA. RefSeq lists it as uncharacterized. The transcript is spliced from 3 exons. NCBI's taxonomy places the organism in Eukaryota, Metazoa, Chordata, Mammalia, Eulipotyphla, Erinaceidae. The record is from RefSeq and is a predicted model, not a curated record.